RNAcentral lists this ribosomal RNA (253 nucleotides) under uncultured bacterium. Its description in RNAcentral is "partial 16S ribosomal RNA". It matches the Rfam family "Bacterial small subunit ribosomal RNA", at positions 15 to 257 of the family's 1533-position model. The record is from RNAcentral.
GAUCAUGGCUCAGGAUGAACGCUGGCGGCGUGCCUAAUACAUGCAAGUCGAGCGAACAGACAAGGAGCUUGCUCCUUUGACGUUAGCGGCGGACGGGUGAGUAACACGUGGGUAACCUACCUAUAAGACUGGGAUAACUUCGGGAAACCGGAGCUAAUACCGGAUAAUAUUUCGAACCGCAUGGUUCGAUAGUGAAAGAUGGUUUUGCUAUCACUUAUAGAUGGACCCGCGCCGUAUUAGCUAGUUGGUAAGG